GUAACUUAAGUGUAUUUAACUCGUAUAUUCUCAGUAAUAUGGUCUGAGCGUUUCUACCUGGUUCCCGUCAAAGAACCGGACUACGUAGUUAAAGUCUAUGUUAA
RNAcentral lists this non-coding RNA (104 nucleotides) under Oceanobacillus oncorhynchi. RNAcentral describes it as "Guanine sequence". It matches the Rfam family "Purine riboswitch aptamer". From Rfam's summary of the family: Riboswitches are metabolite binding domains within certain messenger RNAs that serve as precision sensors for their corresponding targets. Allosteric rearrangement of mRNA structure is mediated by ligand binding, and this results in modulation of gene expression. The record is from Rfam by way of RNAcentral. Lineage: Bacteria; Bacillati; Bacillota; Bacilli; Caryophanales; Bacillaceae.